UGCUACAACCUAAACUGGCCAUUAUCUGUUGCUGGGUCUCCCAGGCUCCCCAGCCCAGGUAUGAGGGGCAUGUAGCUCUCCAAAUGUAGUGGGGUUCAAAUUCUUCACCAUUGAUUAUACCGGCUUAUAAUGUAACAAUUUGGGUGAGUAUUAUACAUGGCCCACUCUUGCCCUAAGUCAUUAGUGAAUGUUUGCCUCUUUCAUAGACCUACUAAGCUAAUUUUGCAGUGUAAUAUAACAGAGAUUAUGACAAAAUAAAAAAACUGCAUGAUUUAAUUGCAUUCUUUGUACAGGUAACAUUAUGACUGUCAGGCGUUAUUCCAUUUCCUCUUCUGUGCCUUCAUACUCUGGCAAUAAACAUCAUAAACCUGACAAGAGGAAUCCAUUGAAAGGAGCCCUUGAAGUGAAGGGCAUUAUCAAACCACCAGCCUUUCCCGCAGAUGUGCAACUAAACAACAAAGAAGAGAAAGGGUGCACAAAAAUCCCUGCUGAUUGCCUUUCCAGCAACACUUCUAAUAAAAGGAGAUCUUUUCAAGACCAUGUCUACAAAUGCAGGGGCAAAGUAAAGGCUGUCAGUUUCUUGUUACCCGUGGAUGUGUCAUCUUGUUCGGAAAAUCAAGGUUCUUUCACAUGCCCACAAAAUGAGGACACAAAACAGUUAAGCACCAUUAUUGAAAAGGACAUGUGAGUUGGUGAAUUUUUUAAGGGGCCAUUCCUGACUCCAGAGGUAAACUAGCCUGAAGAAACAGCACCACAUAGGAUUUUAUUUCUGUUAAGUGCUUUGACAGAAUGCCUUCAGAGAAUUACCCAGGCAGUGUUUCAGGUCAUUGAAUGAUUCUUUAGCAAGGAGAUUAAAAAAAAACUCUUGGAGAAACCAUUAAAAACCUAUGCAAUGAUAACAGAUGGCUUUCCACUGUGUGUGAAUAUAUGUAUAUACUAUAUAUAGCUAUAUAUCUAUCUAUAAAUCUAUGAAACCAGCUCAAAGACUGAAUUAAACAGAAUUAAACAGCUUUAAUAUAACUGAUUUCACUGCUGUCUUUUUAUGAGAGCACUCAAAAUAACAUCUCUUUAAUGCCUGAGAUGCCAGAAAAUGUGUAAAGAAAAUUAUUGUCUGUUAUGAAACUGUAAACUGUGCAAAAGAAAUACAGGGUUACAUCUGGCUAGUUAUCUAGUAAUGUGAUUGUGUCUCUUUUCAUGUAGCCUACAGCAACAUUCUAGCAAAUGAAUAGACACUAAGAUACAGCAAAUGUAAACUAUAUCCAGAUGUUGGUUUAUUAACACUGAACAGGCUAAACGCUUAUAGCUUGUAUAUCACAUGUAUUGUCUUCAAAAUGCCUGCUCCUCAUUCAUGAAAUGAGCCAGUGCACAUAUUAUAUGAGUGGACUUUAGAGAUACUGUAAGCAUGAACUUCAGUUUAUCAAAGUGCUGAACUAUGGCAAAUGUUAAACAAAAAAGAGGAAAGUCUGAAACUCAACAAAACUUGGCUCCCAGCUCUCAAAAAUACAGCGUGCUAAAGGUCAAUGAACUCUACCCAGCCACAAGGUCAGGGGAUCACUACACACAAAAGACCCAUCAACCACAGUGACAGAUAAUCUCUCCUUCUUAUCACAACAAUACACCCACAACAAGACACACUAAUCACCCAUUUACAGAAAAAGACAAAAGCCCAUCUCACAGCCAUAAAUACU
Molecule: long non-coding RNA, 1688 nt
Organism: Pogona vitticeps (central bearded dragon)
Lineage: Eukaryota; Metazoa; Chordata; Lepidosauria; Squamata; Agamidae
Source: Ensembl